AGUAGCUUGGCCGAGCGGUUUAAGGCGCAGGUCUUAAGAACCUGUGGAGCAAUCCUCGUGGGUUCGAAUCCCACAGCUACUA
Molecule: transfer RNA, 82 nt
Filed under: Chlamydiota bacterium
Lineage: Bacteria; Pseudomonadati; Chlamydiota
Description: Chlamydiae bacterium (freshwater metagenome) tRNA-Leu
Rfam family: tRNA
About the family: Transfer RNA (tRNA) molecules are approximately 80 nucleotides in length. Their secondary structure includes four short double-helical elements and three loops (D, anti-codon, and T loops).
Source: RNAcentral